AUUUACAAAAUGCCCUUCCUUUGUGUAGGAGGCUAAAAGGAAAAAAAAAAAAAAGAAAUCAGUAGCUUUUAAAGCUAGGCCUUGCUGCGAGUGAGAAGAUAAUGAAAGCCGUCUGUGUUGUGGGGCAGAGAAGCAUUUCAGAGACAGGCCUGACUCGCGGGGUUACGCUGCUGAAAAAGACAUUGACGUGCCUGUUUGUUUUGCAACGAGAGAACACGCAUGAGACUGGCUUACACGCAGCACGGUCUGGAGUAGAAGAAGAAGACGAACAAGAAGGAGAAGAAGGAGAAGAAGAAGGAUGAUAUGCUUAGUGCUCUGCACCAGGAUGGAUCUAGAUGCUGAUGAUGUUAAUGCUGGAAGUUUGCUGCAUCAUGUGAGCUCUCAGGUCGACUCUGUCAUCUUAUGAUGGAUGAAGAGGAUGAGGAGGAUGAGAAGAGAGAGGGAGAGAGAUCUUUUGUGUUUUCUUCACUGUGCUUAAGUGGAUUCCUCUCUAAAAGGUGCGGAAAGAUAACCAUCAAUCAGUUGUCAAUUGGUCAAUUGCAGAAGUGAUGAAAAGGAAAGGAUGGAACAAUCCUCUCUCUCUCUGCGGUUACCUAGAGGAGGAAGGGAAUGAGGGAAAACACGGAGGCUGGAAUGGGAACAAUGGAGGGGAUCCAGAGCACAGAUGCGCGCAGAGAGAGAAUGAGAAUAGAGAAAGAGAGAGAAGCGGAGACAGCGGCUAGUGGAGCGCUGCUUGGGCGGGAAAGGAGCACCGAAGAGCGGCUACAGCUCUCAGGAUUCCCCGCGGUACCGGUGGAGGAUGUUUAACCGAGUCGGAGCUCCGUGCUGACGGCCUAAGAGUCACAUUGCAGCUCUUAAAAGUUUUUGCGAAGAAUAGAAAAUAUUGAAGACGCGCGAGAACAGGUCACGCUGAAGUCUCGAUAAGACCCGGAUGCAGAAACGGUGCUGCAGCUGAUUUACCUGCAACAGGUGGUCCUUCUCAUCAAGAGUUCACAGGUUCUUCUCAGCUUUGUGCAUCCUGGCGAUUCAGCACUGAUCUUCUUCUUCUAUAAACAUGUUAAUAACGUGAUCCAUUUUGUGAUUGGAUGAUCAAGUGGCCUGCCCUUGUUGACAUAUGGACAUUUUGUCAAUCGACAAAUGUUAAUGUGUGCGCUGCUGUAUCUGUGUGCAGAUUAUAUAUUUAUGUAUUUAAAUUUUGAAAUGGUUAUGGUUAUUGAAAGGGGCAGGGCUAUAAUAAGGGGUGUGGCUAAUUAAUAUGAACUCCAUAUGAACUCCUGUGCUUGUAUAACCGGAGUUAGCCACUAACGUGUUCAUACUGAUAUUACAGCAGGAUAAUAGCAGUGUGUGUGGGAGUGUUUACCUGACGCUUAGCUCACCUUUUGGCCAUUAGCACACACCUCACAAUCGCAACACACUGACUCCAGGGUGAAGGUGAAAGUGACUGAGCUGCUAAGUAAAUAUGACUUUAAAGCUACACAAGCUCGCAGCUCUGUCUCAGAUAUAAUGAGCAGUAAAGGACAAAAAGAUCCUUAUUUCACUUAUUUCCAAAUGACUAUAUAUAUUUUCACCACUGUUUUUUUAAAAAAUGCAAACCUUUUGGUAAAAAAUGCCCAGCAAGUCUGAAAUAAAUAAAGUGACUGAUCUUCUGAGCUAUCUAUGUGUCUAAUGUGAGCUAAGUGGAACACAACAAUAGAGAUUUUAUUUCACAUUAAUGAACUCAAAACAUUGUCCAAUUACAAGGACAGAACAAUAAAAGAAUUUUUGAAGAGAUAUACUCCUCGUACACCACAGCAAAUAGACAACUACACAUAUUAUUUAUUAAAAAAAUGACACGCCAUAAUUUUCAGCCAUUUACACUCUAGUUACAUUUAGUUACCUGGAAUGUCUAUGAAAAAAGUUAUAAAGCAGCUAUAAACACUUGUUCUGUCACCACCCUAUUCUUUCUCUCUCUAAUUAAAUAAGCCGAAAAAAAAAAAAAAAACUUGUUUUGUUACCCAGAAACUACAAAAAGUGUAAACACCUCUGUCCUGAAAUCAUCCAUAAACUUAAAGUUACAGCUGUAGCUCUGUUACAAAGUGCUGACACUGGAGACUCCUUCCAUAUAUUUUAAAUAAACAUUUUCUUAUAAGAAGCAAACUUUACCAAAUCACUGAUUCUUUAUGAUCCUCUUUGUGUCGAGUUUCCAUCGUACAAGUUCCUGUGAAUAAGGUGUUUCUACAGAAACAAUAACGUGUCAGAACGAGUGCGUUAAUUAUAAACUGCCAGAGCUGCAAUGGAGAUAUAAAUGAUAGAAAAUAAACACCUGACUAGUCAGAAUAGUGUAAUCAAUAGCACAAAGUUAUAAUCAAUUUGAUCUGUUUUACACUUUCUGUUACAUCAUGAUGUAUUUUAUACUGUAUAACAUUUUGCACAUGGAUAUUUCUGCAUUAAAAAACUCUAAAUCUGUACAUUAAAGUGUCCGGAUAUAUUUCUUUAAACAUAUUUC
This is a long non-coding RNA of Hemibagrus wyckioides, 2485 nucleotides long. RefSeq lists it as uncharacterized. NCBI's taxonomy places the organism in Eukaryota, Metazoa, Chordata, Actinopteri, Siluriformes, Bagridae. The record is from RefSeq and is a predicted model, not a curated record. The transcript has 6 exons.